CGUCACUCCGCAUUUACAUUGCU
RNAcentral lists this microRNA (23 nucleotides) under Chrysemys picta bellii (western painted turtle). RNAcentral describes it as "Cpi-Mir-9593_3p (mature (co-guide))". The record is from RNAcentral. RNAcentral also lists the same sequence under 1 other name. Lineage: Eukaryota; Metazoa; Chordata; Testudines; Emydidae.